Molecule: ribosomal RNA, 601 nt
Filed under: Rhodotorula mucilaginosa
Lineage: Eukaryota; Fungi; Basidiomycota; Microbotryomycetes; Sporidiobolales; Sporidiobolaceae
Description: eukaryotic LSU rRNA
Rfam family: Eukaryotic large subunit ribosomal RNA
Source: RNAcentral
CAAUAAGCGGAGGAAAAGAAACUAACAAGGAUUCCCCUAGUAGCGGCGAGCGAAGCGGGAAGAGCUCAAAUUUAUAAUCUGGCACCUUCGGUGUCCGAGUUGUAAUCUCUAGAAAUGUUUUCCGCGUUGGACCGCACACAAGUCUGUUGGAAUACAGCGGCAUAGUGGUGAGACCCCCGUAUAUGGUGCGGACGCCCAGCGCUUUGUGAUACAUUUUCGAAGAGUCGAGUUGUUUGGGAAUGCAGCUCAAAUUGGGUGGUAAAUUCCAUCUAAAGCUAAAUAUUGGCGAGAGACCGAUAGCGAACAAGUACCGUGAGGGAAAGAUGAAAAGCACUUUGGAAAGAGAGUUAACAGUACGUGAAAUUGUUGGAAGGGAAACGCUUGAAGUCAGACUUGCUUGCCGAGCAAUCGGUUUGCAGGCCAGCAUCAGUUUUCCGGGAUGGAUAAUGGUAGAGAGAAGGUAGCAGUUUCGGCUGUGUUAUAGCUCUCUGCUGGAUACAUCUUGGGGGACUGAGGAACGCAGUGUGCCUUUUGGCGGGGGUUUCGACCUCUUCACACUUAGGAUGCUGGUGGAAUGGCUUUAAACGACCCGUCUUGAAAC